GCGUCCGUAGCUCAGCUGGAUAGAGCAUUCGCCUUCUAAGCGAAAUGUCGGGGGUUCGAACCCCUCCGGACGCG
Molecule: transfer RNA, 74 nt
Filed under: Enterococcus faecalis
Lineage: Bacteria; Bacillati; Bacillota; Bacilli; Lactobacillales; Enterococcaceae
Also listed under: 3 other names
Description: tRNA-Arg
Rfam family: tRNA
About the family: Transfer RNA (tRNA) molecules are approximately 80 nucleotides in length.
Source: RNAcentral